UGGGGAAUAUUGGACAAUGGGCGCAAGCCUGAUCCAGCAAUGCCGCGUGUGUGAAGAAGGCCUUCGGGUUGUAAAGCACUUUUAUCAGGAGCGAAACGCUGUCGGCUAAUACCCGGCGGAACUGACGGUACCUGAGGAAUAAGCACCGGCUAACUUCGUGCCAGCAGCCGCGGUAAUACGAAGGGUGCAAGCGUUAAUCGGAAUUACUGGGCGUAAAGCGUGCGUAGGCGGUUUCUUAAGUCUGCUGUGAAAUCCCCGGGCUCAACCUGGGAAUGGCAGUGGAUACUGGGAGGCUAGAGUGUGUCAGAGGGUGGUGGAAUUCCCGGUGUAGCGGUGAAAUGCGUAGAGAUCGGGAGGAACAUCAGUGGCGAAGGCGGCCACCUGGGACAACACUGACGCUGAGGCACGAAAGCGUGGGGAGCAAACAGGAUUAGAUACCCUGGUAGUCCACGCCCUAAACGAUGCGAACUGGAUGUUGGUCUCAACUCGGAGAUCAGUGUCGAAGCUAACGCGUUAAGUUCGCCGCCUGGGGAGUACGGUCGCAAGACUGAAACUUAAAUAAAUUGACGGGGUCAUAGCUGUUUCCUG
This 588-nucleotide ribosomal RNA is filed under the name uncultured bacterium. Its description in RNAcentral is "partial 16S ribosomal RNA". It matches the Rfam family "Bacterial small subunit ribosomal RNA", at positions 355 to 1376 of the family's 1533-position model. The record is from RNAcentral.